UCAGAUUUGGAUUUCACAAAAUCCAUGCCGAUUCCAACCUGAUGUCACUCCGACGUACAUAUCAUCAAAUCAUAUGCGAACCCUACUAUUUUGAAUUAUUAAUGAAACUCACCACUCAAACUAUUAAGAACGUCCACUAAAUUGUAGACAUUUAUUGCAGAGCUAUAAUCCUAACAUUCAAAAAAAUAAAGCUCAUUAGAUCAUCAAUACACAUAUCUUAUAUCAUACAAAUUUGAACACUCAAGAGUGAUCCUUAGGAUAAAAUCUUGAAUCAACAAUUUGUUAAUCUUAACAAGGAGUUUUCUUCUUCAGAUCUCCCGUCAGCUUUCCACCCUUUUUCCCCUCUACCUCUUCUUAAGAUCACAAGUUCAGGCAAUCCUGAAAGAGAACUUCACAGAAAUUUGAACAUCACCAAUAAUAUACAGUAUACUUGACACACAAGACAGAUUUCACUUUCUUUACACAAAGCUAGAAGCACUAGCUCUUUCUUCUGAAGAGAUGUGAAUGAAAUGAAAAAUCUUAAAUUCACAUCUGAUAAUCAGAUAUGAAACUCCUAUAAAUAGAAAUACUGCAAGCAUGUAUGUCUCAGGCAGGUUCUACCAAGUAUGGUUUUCAAGCUUAACCUUCCAUUAGACUCUUGCACCAGAAGCCAACACUCAGUCCUUAGUCAUGCAGCACCAACCUUGGUACAUGAGACUGCCCCAUGAGGUGCAAUGCAUCAAGCAGUUAACAAAAUAGAGGAGUUUCAGUAUCUAAAGCAUAUUUUUCAAUGCAACCUCCAGAGCCGGACCCGGGACAUCCUUCAACAUGUUAGAAACACAACACAUCAAGGCUACGUUCCAUCUGCAUUACUGCACAAAACAAUAAA
This 868-nucleotide long non-coding RNA is filed under the name Carica papaya (papaya). RNAcentral describes it as "long non-coding RNA (CPAP_LNC014843)". The record is from RNAcentral. Lineage: Eukaryota; Viridiplantae; Streptophyta; Magnoliopsida; Brassicales; Caricaceae.